UACGUAGGGUGCAAGCGUUAUCCGGAUUCACUGGGUUUAAAGGGUGCGUAGGUGGUUCUGUAAGUCAGUUGUGAAAUCUCCAAGCUUAACUUGGAAACUGCCGUUGAUACUAUAGACCUUGAAUGCUGUGGAGGUGAGCGGAAUAUGUCAUGUAGCGGUGAAAUGCUUAGAUAUGACAUAGAACACCAAUUGCGAAGGCAGCUCACUGCCAAGAUAUUGACACUGAGGCACGAAAGCGUGGGGAUCAAACAGG
Molecule: ribosomal RNA, 253 nt
Filed under: uncultured bacterium
Lineage: Bacteria
Description: partial 16S ribosomal RNA
Rfam family: Bacterial small subunit ribosomal RNA
Source: RNAcentral